CGUUAAAAAUUUCAUUCAUUUGUACGGUUAAAAACUGGCGUGAUUGAAAAAAUAAUCGAAAAUGGCAUGUUGUACCACAUGUACCUCAUACUGAUGUAAGAAGCACUUUUUAUCAAUAGAAAUAGAUAGAAUUUUUAAUA
Molecule: microRNA precursor, 140 nt
Filed under: Gossypium hirsutum (cotton)
Lineage: Eukaryota; Viridiplantae; Streptophyta; Magnoliopsida; Malvales; Malvaceae
Also listed under: 1 other name
Description: MIR7502 microRNA precursor family
Rfam family: MIR7502 microRNA precursor family
Source: Rfam by way of RNAcentral